GGGUUGUGAGGUUAAGCGACUAAGCGUACACGGUGGAUGCCCUGGCAGUCAGAGGCGAUGAAGGGCGUGCUAAUCUGCGAUAAGCGCCGGUAAGGUGAUAUGAACCGUUAUAACCGGCGAUACCCGAAUGGGGAAACCCAGUGUGAUUCGUCACACUAUCAUUAACUGAAUCCAUAGGUUAAUGAGGCGAACCGGGGGAACUGAAACAUCUAAGUACCCCGAGGAAAAGAAAUCAACCGAGAUUCCCCCAGUAGCGGCGAGCGAACGGGGAGGAGCCCAGAGCCUGAAUCAGCAUGUGUGUUAGUGGAAGCGUCUGGAAAGGCGCGCGAUACAGGGUGACAGCCCCGUACACAAAAGCGCAUGUGCUGUGAGCUCGAUGAGUAGGGCGGGACACGUGGUAUCCUGUCUGAAUAUGGGGGGACCAUCCUCCAAGGCUAAAUACUCCUGACUGACCGAUAGUGAACCAGUACCGUGAGGGAAAGGCGAAAAGAACCCCGGCGAGGGGAGUGAAAAAGAACCUGAAACCGUGUACGUACAAGCAGUGGGAGCCCCACCACCAAAGCAUUUGCUGUACCGCGUUGACGGAGCGAAGCGACGUCAAACCGAUAAAACAGCAGUGUAAAGUGAGCCGCAGGGCGCUUUGCGCGACAGCGCAAAGGCAGGCGGUUUCGCGUAGCGAAAGCGAAUGCUUUGGGGUGGGGUGACUGCGUACCUUUUGUAUAAUGGGUCAGCGACUUAUAUUCUGUAGCAAGGUUAACCGAAUAGGGGAGCCGGAGGGAAACCGAGUCUUAAUUGGGCGUUAAGUUGCAGGGUAUAGACCCGAAACCCGGUGAUCUAGCCAUGGGCAGGUUGAAGGUUGGGUAACACUAACUGGAGGACCGAACCGACUAAUGUUGAAAAAUUAGCGGAUGACCUGUGGCUGGGGGUGAAAGGCCAAUCAAACCGGGAGAUAGCUGGUUCUCCCCGAAAGCUAUUUAGGUAGCGCCUCGUGAAUUCAUCUCCGGGGGUAGAGCACUGUUUCGGCUAGGGGGCCAUCCCGGCUUACCAACCCGAUGCAAACUGCGAAUACCGGAGAAUGUUAUCACGGGAGACACACGGCGGGUGCUAACGUCCGUCGUGAAGAGGGAAACAACCCAGACCGCCAGCUAAGGUCCCAAAGUCAUGGUUAAGUGGGAAACGAUGUGGGAAGGCCCAGACAGCCAGGAUGUUGGCUUAGAAGCAGCCAUCAUUUAAAGAAAGCGUAAUAGCUCACUGGUCGAGUCGGCCUGCGCGGAAGAUGUAACGGGGCUAAACCAUGCACCGAAGCUGCGGCAGCGACGCUUAUGCGUUGUUGGGUAGGGGAGCGUUCUGUAAGCCUGCGAAGGUGGGCUGUGAGGGUUGCUGGAGGUAUCAGAAGUGCGAAUGCUGACAUAAGUAACGAUAAAGCGGGUGAAAAGCCCGCUCGCCGGAAGACCAAGGGUUCCUGUCCAACGUUAAUCGGGGCAGGGUGAGUCGACCCCUAAGGCGAGGCCGAAAGGCGUAGUCGAUGGGAAACGGGUUAAUAUUCCCGUACUUGGUGUUACUGCGAAGGGGGGACGGAGAAGGCUAUGUUGGCCGGGCGACGGUUGUCCCGGUUUAAGCGUGUAGGCUGGUUUUCCAGGCAAAUCCGGAAAAUCAAGGCUGAGGCGUGACGACGAGGCACUACGGUGCUGAAGCAACAAAUGCCCUGCUUCCAGGAAAAGCCUCUAAGCAUCAGGUAACACGAAAUCGUACCCCAAACCGACACAGGUGGUCAGGUAGAGAAUACCAAGGCGCUUGAGAGAACUCGGGUGAAGGAACUAGGCAAAAUGGUGCCGUAACUUCGGGAGAAGGCACGCUGAUAUGUAGGUGAAGCGGUUUACCCGUGGAGCUGAAAUCAGUCGAAGAUACCAGCUGGCUGCAACUGUUUAUUAAAAACACAGCACUGUGCAAACACGAAAGUGGACGUAUACGGUGUGACGCCUGCCCGGUGCCGGAAGGUUAAUUGAUGGGGUCAGCGCAAGCGAAGCUCCUGAUCGAAGCCCCGGUAAACGGCGGCCGUAACUAUAACGGUCCUAAGGUAGCGAAAUUCCUUGUCGGGUAAGUUCCGACCUGCACGAAUGGCGUAAUGAUGGCCAGGCUGUCUCCACCCGAGACUCAGUGAAAUUGAACUCGCUGUGAAGAUGCAGUGUACCCGCGGCAAGACGGAAAGACCCCGUGAACCUUUACUAUAGCUUGACACUGAACAUUGAGCCUUGAUGUGUAGGAUAGGUGGGAGGCUUUGAAGUGUGGACGCCAGUCUGCAUGGAGCCGACCUUGAAAUACCACCCUUUAAUGUUUGAUGUUCUAACGUGGACCCGUUACCCGGGUUGCGGACAGUGUCUGGUGGGUAGUUUGACUGGGGCGGUCUCCUCCUAAAGAGUAACGGAGGAGCACGAAGGUUGGCUAAUCCUGGUCGGACAUCAGGAGGUUAGUGCAAUGGCAUAAGCCAGCUUGACUGCGAGCGUGACGGCGCGAGCAGGUGCGAAAGCAGGUCAUAGUGAUCCGGUGGUUCUGAAUGGAAGGGCCAUCGCUCAACGGAUAAAAGGUACUCCGGGGAUAACAGGCUGAUACCGCCCAAGAGUUCAUAUCGACGGCGGUGUUUGGCACCUCGAUGUCGGCUCAUCACAUCCUGGGGCUGAAGUAGGUCCCAAGGGUAUGGCUGUUCGCCAUUUAAAGUGGUACGCGAGCUGGGUUUAGAACGUCGUGAGACAGUUCGGUCCCUAUCUGCCGUGGGCGCUGGAGAACUGAGGGGGGCUGCUCCUAGUACGAGAGGACCGGAGUGGACGCAUCACUGGUGUUCGGGUUGUCAUGCCAAUGGCACUGCCCGGUAGCUAAAUGCGGAAGAGAUAAGUGCUGAAAGCAUCUAAGCACGAAACUUGCCCCGAGAUGAGUUCUCCCUGAGACUUUAGGUCUCCUGAAGGAACGUUGAAGACGACGACGUUGAUAGGCCGGGUGUGUAAGCGCAGCGAUGCGUUGAGCUAACCGGUACUAAUGAACCGUGAGGCUUAACCUUACAACGCCGAAG
This 3064-nucleotide ribosomal RNA is filed under the name Salmonella enterica subsp. enterica serovar Berta. RNAcentral's name for it is "23S ribosomal RNA". It matches the Rfam family "Bacterial large subunit ribosomal RNA". RNAcentral also lists the same sequence under 1 other name. Lineage: Bacteria; Pseudomonadati; Pseudomonadota; Gammaproteobacteria; Enterobacterales; Enterobacteriaceae. The record is from RNAcentral.